Molecule: non-coding RNA, 521 nt
Organism: Elaeis guineensis (African oil palm)
Lineage: Eukaryota; Viridiplantae; Streptophyta; Magnoliopsida; Arecales; Arecaceae
Source: RefSeq, a predicted model, not a curated record
GGCAGAAUUGACAAGGAAACUCAGGAAAGAAGUUCUGUUGUGGUUUCUGGUCCAGUUUGGUAAGGAGGAAUUUGGUGAUUCUGAGGUUAAAGAUCUAUAGCAUGGCUCAGAUGCACAAAGCCAUCCCAAUUGUUUGGAAGAAGGCUUAAGCAGAUUGAUCUAUAGCUAGAGGAAUCAUCUCUCCAUACUGCAUCAUAAUGAAGCCUCACUAUCAAUUCAAGCCAAUUCGCCGGGUUAUUGGCCUCGCCAUAUACAUGCGCAAUAAAAAAGAAAGAUAAAUAAUGGAGUAGGAGCAGAUCAUUGAGGCAGGGGUGCUGAUGUGGCCAAAGGCAAUAUUCUUGGGUAAACUGUAUUAUACUUGUUAUACCAAUGUAGCCAAAGUCAGUAUCUUUUGGUCCCUCGUCAACAUUUCCUUAAUUAGGACUCUGAAUGCUGUAAAUUAGAGUAUCCAUACGUUAAUGUCUAUUUUAUCUGUAUUUGUAUCAGAUUGCAUGUUUAUUUUUGGUGGUGAAUUGUAUCAU